GACGAACGCUGGCGGCGUGCUUAACACAUGCAAGUCGAACGGAAAGGCCUUUUCGGAGGUACUCGAGUAGCGAACGGGUGAGUAACACGUGGGUGAUCUGCCCUGCACUCUGGGAUAAGCCUGGGAAACUGGGUCUAAUACCGGAUAGGACCGCACUUUAGUGUGUGUGGUGGAAAGUUUUUUCGGUGUAGGAUGAGCCCGCGGCCUAUCAGCUUGUUGGUGGGGUAAUGGCCUACCAAGGCGGCGACGGGCAGCCGGACUGAGAGGUUGGUCGGCCACAUUGGGACUGAGAUACGGCCCAGACUCCUACGGGAGGCAGCAGUGGGGAAUAUUGAACAAUGGGCGCAAGCCUGAUGCAGCGACGCCGCGGGGGGGAUGACGGCCUUCGGGUUGUAAACUCCUUUCGCCAGGGACGAAGCGUUUUGUGACGGUACCUGGAGAAGAAGCACCGGCUAACUACGUG
This 463-nucleotide ribosomal RNA is filed under the name uncultured bacterium. RNAcentral's name for it is "partial 16S ribosomal RNA". It matches the Rfam family "Bacterial small subunit ribosomal RNA", at positions 28 to 507 of the family's 1533-position model. The record is from RNAcentral.